Molecule: long non-coding RNA, 307 nt
Filed under: Elaeis guineensis (African oil palm)
Lineage: Eukaryota; Viridiplantae; Streptophyta; Magnoliopsida; Arecales; Arecaceae
Description: long non-coding RNA (EGUI_LNC011486)
Source: RNAcentral
CGAUCAGUUGAUUAAUUUAAGAAAAUGAAAAGCUAUCCUUUGGAUAAGCUUUAUUUAAGUCGAUAUAAUCGAUAUAUAUCCUCUAUUUGCCAUUAGCUUUUUUGACCAUCACGACGUUCGUGAGCCAAUCAGAGUAAGUUGCCUUGCGAAUGAAGUUGACUGCCAGCAAUUUAUCGACUUCUUCAUCGAUUGCCUUUUGUCGCUUGGGAGCAAAAUUUUUUUUCUUUUGUCUCACUGGCUUGUGCUUAACGUUGAUAUUUAAUUGGUGGACAAUCACAUCAAAGGGGAUACCCGACAUGUCGGAUGC